GUCUACGGCCAUACCACCCUGAACGUGCUUGAUCUCAUCUGAUCUUGGAAGCUAAGUAGGGUUGAGCUGGGUUAGUACUUGGAUGGGAGAACUCAAGUUAAAACCCCAGAUAGGGCCGGCGCCG
This 124-nucleotide ribosomal RNA is filed under the name Oryctolagus cuniculus (rabbit). The record is from RNAcentral. Lineage: Eukaryota; Metazoa; Chordata; Mammalia; Lagomorpha; Leporidae.